GAUGAACGCUGGCGGCGUGCUUAACACAUGCAAGUCGAACGAUGAAGCCCAGCUUGCUGGGUGGAUUAGUGGCGAACGGGUGAGUAACACGUGAGUAACCUGCCUUUAACUCUGGGAUAAGCCUGGGAAACUGGGUCUAAUACCGGAUAGGAGCGUCCACCGCAUGGUGGGUGUUGGAAAGAUUUAUCGGUUUUGGAUGGACUCGCGGCCUAUCAGGUUGUUGGUGAGGUAAUGGCUCACCAAGGCGACGACGGGUAGCCGGCCUGAGAGGGUGACCGGCCACACUGGGACUGAGACACGACCCAGACUCCUACGGGAGGCAGCAGUGGGGAAUAUUGCACAAUGGGCGCAAGCCUGAUGCAGCGACGCCGCGUGAGGGAUGACGGCCUUCGGGUUGUAAACCUCUUUCAGUAGGGAAGAAGCGAAAGUGACGGUACCUGCAGAAGAAGCACCGGCUAACUACGUG
RNAcentral lists this ribosomal RNA (466 nucleotides) under uncultured bacterium. Its description in RNAcentral is "partial 16S ribosomal RNA". It matches the Rfam family "Bacterial small subunit ribosomal RNA", at positions 28 to 507 of the family's 1533-position model. The record is from RNAcentral.